CCUACGGGCGGCAGCAGUGAGGAAUAUUGGUCAAUGGGCGGGAGCCUGAACCAGCCAAGCCGCGUGAGGGAAGAAGGUACUGCGUAUCGUAAACUUCUUUUGUCAGGGAACAAAGGCGGGGACCAGUCUCCGGAUGAGCGUACCAGAAGAAAAAGCAUCGGCUAACUCCGUGCCAGCAGCCGCGGUAAUACGGAGGAUGCGAGCGUUAGCCGGAUUUAUUGGGUAUAACGGGUGGGAAGGCGGCGUGUUAAGUCAGCGGUAAAAGCGCGGGGCUCAACCCCGGCGAGCUGUUGAAGCUGGGGGGCUGGAGUUGGAGAGAGGUACGCGGAAUUCGUGGUGUAGCGGUGAAAUGCGUAGAUAUCACGCAGAACCCCGAUUGCGAAGGCAGCUUACCGGCUCCAAACUGACGCUGAGGCACGAAAGCGUGGGUAUCGAACAGGAUUAGAUACCCGGGUAGUC
RNAcentral lists this ribosomal RNA (459 nucleotides) under uncultured bacterium. RNAcentral's name for it is "partial 16S ribosomal RNA". It matches the Rfam family "Bacterial small subunit ribosomal RNA", at positions 338 to 795 of the family's 1533-position model. The record is from RNAcentral.